UUUCUUAGCUUGUGUAUGAUU
Molecule: non-coding RNA, 21 nt
Organism: Caenorhabditis elegans
Lineage: Eukaryota; Metazoa; Nematoda; Chromadorea; Rhabditida; Rhabditidae
Source: Ensembl